CUACUGCAUUAAAUAGAACACCAAACAAAGAAUUGAUACUGAAACAACUGCUUCAAGCGAAUUUUGUUAGCUUACUUUCAUUUCGUCAGUUUCACUACAACCGCUGAUGAUGGCGCAUCGUUUUCGUUCAAUGGCACUCCAAGCUCUGCAUUCAAUCCACACAUGCUGCUCGUCGCGGGCACUCCUUUGUUUGGCCAGUAGCUUUGUUGGAGCAACGUUUGCCUUUUGUUAUCUACUGCCUGCAUAUUGGGACUACCAUCAGUUUUCCUCUCAUCUCUCACAGGUAGCAGAUGUGUCUGGCACGGUGACAACAUGUCCGUGUCAAACUGAUCGUAAGAUCAUCAUUCUCUACUGGACAAAAUAUUUUCGGUCGACGGAUUUUGGCUUCGGCAUGGGACUGACACCCUUCCACGAGUGUCACACGAAUCAAACCAGUAACAGAAGAGGAUGUUUAACGACAACGGAUCGAAGUUUCGUGAAUGAUAGCGACGCCAUCCUCUUUCACGCACGUGACAUUAACAUCAACGAUUUGCCUCCGGCCGGAUGGAGGCGACCGCAUCAAAAUUACGUCUUUCUCCUUUACGAGUCGCCAGUCAACACGAAUCUAAACAUGUUGCGACAACCUUUAUUCCGCAAUUAUUUCAAUAGAACAAUGACUUAUCGUCGCGAUUCGGACGUCGUCGAUUUGCAUCCGUACGGCCACAUGCAGUGCAUCGACGCUGCUUCACCAUCGUGUUCCAAAUUGCCACAAACUGCUGAUGCAAAGAAGCCAAACAUCGUCCAAGAGAACGACGAUUCCACGUCGGUUCCCGUCAAAAUAGACUUGACAUUGAAAAAUUGGACUGUCGCCUGGUUCGUGUCGAAUUGCGAGACAAACAGUCGGCGUGAAUUGCUGGCCCGUAACCUGUCGCACUUCAUUCCAGUCGAUAUUUUCGGCCAUUGUGCAAACGCAAACAACAUCACCUGCUCCGAUCGGGCUGCAUGCGACGAGAAACUGAGUCGUCAUUAUCGUUUCUACCUCAGUUUUGAGAACUCUUUGUGUUUAGAUUACGUCACUGAGAAACUCUACCGACCUUUGCAACACAAUGCAGUCCCAGUCGUUUACGGAGGUGCUGACUAUUCUUUGUAUCUUCCGGCUGGAUCGUACGUGAACGCCAUGGAUUUCGGCAGUCCUGAGCGCCUUGCCGAUCACUUGAACAAACUGAUGGGAGACGACGAGCUGUACCUGACGUACUUUCGCUGGAAGUCUAAAUACGCAGUCGAAAGAAGAGCGAAAGACGCAAUGUGCCAACUGUGUCAAUUACUUGGUGAUUCCAAAACGAAAGAAAAGAGUUAUGCAGAUAUUGCUGAGUGGUGGGCAGGUAACAAGACUACCAAUCCAAUUUGCCGGUCGCCACCUGCAACACUUGUUUAGUUGAACAAUCAGCGCAAAGGGUUUGCAACCUAAGGAAAUGCCCCACCUUUCUUUUUCGUUCCACAGUUGGGCCACCAGCGAGAUUGCCCUCGCCGUAGGAUACGGAGGUAGUAUACAAGAGAAUCAGAUAAAAUUGCAACGCCGUCGGCAAAACAGAGAAUCCUUCUUUUUUCUACGUUCUCCAAAAAUAACCCGUCAUGUUUUGAAUGAAAAUCUCAUUAUAAAAGCCAAGCGUUGCCUGAAGGUGACCCAAUCAUUCUUACGAAUUUGUUUUGUGAGCAUAUUAAUUAGCAGUUUUGUCAGCGAACGCAACUCUUGUUGAUAUUUUCUUCAAUGAUAAUAAAGGAGAUGAAAUACUA
RNAcentral lists this unclassified non-coding RNA (1773 nucleotides) under Daphnia magna. RNAcentral describes it as "alpha-(1,3)-fucosyltransferase C-like, transcript variant X3". The record is from RNAcentral. Lineage: Eukaryota; Metazoa; Arthropoda; Branchiopoda; Diplostraca; Daphniidae.